Molecule: ribosomal RNA, 477 nt
Filed under: uncultured bacterium
Lineage: Bacteria
Description: partial 16S ribosomal RNA
Rfam family: Bacterial small subunit ribosomal RNA
Source: RNAcentral
GACGAACGCUGGCGGCGUGCUUAACACAUGCAAGUCGAACGGUGAAGCGCCUUCCUUUUGGGUUGGUGUGGUGGAGAGGCGAACGGGUGCGUAAGACUAGAGUAACCUGCCCCCUUCUUUUGGAUAACCGCAUGAAAGCGUGUCCAAUACGGGAGCUCCUGCUGCUGUGGCAUGAUGGGAAUGUGUCGGAUAUUGGUUAGGUGGGGGAUGGGCAUGGGGCUGAUCAGCGUGUUGGUGGGGAGGUGGCCUACCAAGGCUUGGGAGGGUAGACGGCCUGAGUGGGUGAGCGGCCACAUUGGGACUGAGAUACGGCGCAGACUUCGACGGGAGUGAGCAGUGGGGAAAAGUGUGAAGUGGGCGGACGCCGGAUGCAGUAACGCCGCGCGGGGGAUGAAGGCCUUCGGGUUGUAAAGCGGUUUCGCCUGGGAUGAAGGUGGAUUGACGGUAACGGGUAAAGAAGCACCGGCUAACUACGUG